RNAcentral lists this ribosomal RNA (887 nucleotides) under bacterium IARFR1753. RNAcentral's name for it is "bacterial SSU rRNA". It matches the Rfam family "Bacterial small subunit ribosomal RNA", at positions 57 to 898 of the family's 1533-position model. The record is from RNAcentral.
GCAAGUCGAACGCGUUGGCCCAACUGAUUGAACGUGCUUGCACGGACUUGACGUUGGUUUACCAGCGAGUGGCGGACGGGUGAGUAACACGUAGGUAACCUGCCCCAAAGCGGGGGAUAACAUUUGGAAACAGAUGCUAAUACCGCAUAACAAUUUGAAUCGCAUGAUUCAAAUUUAAAAGAUGGCUUCGGCUAUCACUUUGGGAUGGACCUGCGGCGCAUUAGCUUGUUGGUAGGGUAACGGCCUACCAAGGCUGUGAUGCGUAGCCGAGUUGAGAGACUGAUCGGCCACAAUGGAACUGAGACACGGUCCAUACUCCUACGGGAGGCAGCAGUAGGGAAUCUUCCACAAUGGGCGCAAGCCUGAUGGAGCAACACCGCGUGAGUGAAGAAGGGUUUCGGCUCGUAAAGCUCUGUUGUUAGAGAAGAACGUGCGUGAGAGCAACUGUUCACGCAGUGACGGUAUCUAACCAGAAAGUCACGGCUAACUACGUGCCAGCAGCCGCGGUAAUACGUAGGUGGCAAGCGUUAUCCGGAUUUAUUGGGCGUAAAGCGAGCGCAGGCGGUUUGAUAAGUCUGAUGUGAAAGCCUUUGGCUUAACCAAAGAAGUGCAUCGGAAACUGUCAGACUUGAGUGCAGAAGAGGACAGUGGAACUCCAUGUGUAGCGGUGGAAUGCGUAGAUAUAUGGAAGAACACCAGUGGCGAAGGCGGCUGUCUGGUCUGCAACUGACGCUGAGGCUCGAAAGCAUGGGUAGCGAACAGGAUUAGAUACCCUGGUAGUCCAUGCCCGUAAACGAUGAGUGCUAGGUGUUGGAGGGUUUCCGCCCUUCAGUGCCGCAGCUAACGCAUUAAGCACUCCGCCUGGGGAGUACGACCGCAAGGUUGAA